UCCAGACUCCUACGGGAGGCAGCAGUGGGGAAUAUUGCACAAUGGGGGAAACCCUGAUGCAGCGACGCCGCGUGAGUGAAGAAGUAAUUCGUUAUGUAAAGCUCUCUCAGCAGGGAAGAAAAUGACGGUACCUGAGUAAGAAGCCCCGGCUAACUACGUGCCAGCAGCCGCGGUAAUACGUAGGGGGCAAGCGUUAUCCGGAUUUACUGGGUGUAAAGGGAGCGUAGACGGCAGUGCAAGUCUGGAGUGAAAGGCGGGGGCUCAACCCCCGGACUGCUCUGGAAACUGUACGGCUGGAGUGCAGGAGAGGUAAGUGGAAUUCCUAGUGUAGCGGUGAAAUGCGUAGAUAUCACGCAGAACCCCGAUUGCGAAGGCAGCAUGCCGGCUUCCGACUGACGCUGAAGCACGAAAGCGUGGGGAUCGAACAGGAUUAGAUACCCGUGUA
Molecule: ribosomal RNA, 445 nt
Filed under: uncultured bacterium
Lineage: Bacteria
Description: bacterial SSU rRNA
Rfam family: Bacterial small subunit ribosomal RNA
Source: RNAcentral